Molecule: long non-coding RNA, 1195 nt
Organism: Dermacentor silvarum
Lineage: Eukaryota; Metazoa; Arthropoda; Arachnida; Ixodida; Ixodidae
Exons: 3
Source: RefSeq, a predicted model, not a curated record
GAUGCAGUCGUUUAGUGACUUUUUCUUUUACUAUCUCGUGAUGUCGCUUUUAUAUUGCGCUCAUUAACGAAGGAGGAACUUCUGGGCCGAAUAUGAUGCGUCAUACGGGAGGAACUAAUUCAACAGCAACCUACUGCAACACAACCUCAGUGAUCCCUUUGUUUGAUUUGCGGACGGACGUGAUUCGUAGUGUUGGAGGAUACCGUCUUCAAAUGCUUCCGCACAACAGUGAAAAGCAGUGCCGAAGUUCCUUCUCGACAACGCGCUCUGUGGCGAGGAGAAAUGCUUUGAAGUCAGGGCACAUCGGGAAGUCGGCACAUUGCCCCAAGACCAACGGACGCCCGGCAAUCGGCAGCGCGGCACAUCGCCACAAGACGGACGGACGCGUGUUUUUCGUGCCUAAGCCUCUUCCUCUGCAGAUGACGUUGGUGAUUAAUAUCUGUGAGCAGCACUGACCUAUGCCUGAGUGAAGAGACAUAUAAGUAGGCGACAAACCUUCACGAGGUUGGCUACCCAAGUUAGUUCCUGGUGCUCGUUGCAGAAGGCCUGCUCAAACAGUCACUGCAGAGGCAGAUGUGUGCUGAAUGGCAGGGGGUGCCACCAUUAACAAGAUAAAGGAUGCUGCAGGACUGUAUAUCACAGCCUUUCACACAACUUAAAAAGCACAGCAAGCAGACAUCAACUUUGUCUAUUCUGCACCAAACUAGGUAGCAUUUACCAGGAAUGCCACAAGUGUAAAAUGUAAAAAAAACGGUAAAGUGUUGUCAAAUGCAGAGCAUACAUUAUAUAUCACAUUGGAUUAUUCUGUGGAAGAAGCUACAUAGGCUAAACAGGCAGAUGUGCGAAUGAGGCUGCGUGAGCACAGUAACAAAGUGAAGAUAACGGCACCAAAUGGUUUGUUGUUCCUUCAAUUCUUAAAAUGUGGCUGCCGUUCCUGUUUUGAAAGUACCGUAUUCUAGGUAGAAAUGGGUGUGAGUUGACUCAACAGAAUGAGUGGAUUGUCAGGGCUGGUCACGUAUGUAUUAGCAACUAUUUUGUGUUGUCAAAAAAAAAUCGGAAUUCCUGCAUAUGAGCUGAGAUUACCGUGCAAGCGUCAGCAUUUUUUUUUGCAAUUGUUUGCUGUUGUACUAAUGAUUACACUUAUACAUGUAUUCUCUGACGCACAAGCCGAGGUACAAGAUGGGGUACCGGGAAA